GCCCCGGUGCCCGGGCGGGCGGGCAGAGCGGCGGGAGCGCUGCCAGCAGAGCCCAGCCGGCUGCCAGGCUCCGCUCCCCGCCCUUCUUCCCCUGGGCUGUGCCAGGCCGUGCCGAGGAGCCCGCCGUGCCACCAGCCCCCCGAGAGGCCGCCCUCGGUGCCACCAGGCUGAACGGAGCCCCGAGCGAGGGCACGGAGGCGCCCCACCAGGGAACCCUCGAGGGAACCCGUGCCAAGCUGGGCCAGGACGCCGAGCUCGCGGGGACGCCUGAGGGACACGAUGUGGCCGCCCCAAAGGGCAGGCAAGUGACGCUCCUCGACAGGAUCUUCAGGCUGGAGAAGGGCAAGGGAAGGACACAGAGUGACCCCCAGGAGGGAAGGCAGAGCUUGGAUGAUCCCGAUGGGAGCAUCGCGGCCGGCGCGCCCAACGGGGUCCUGCUGGGAAAGAGUGGGGAAGGUCACAGCUGCUGCUGCUGAAGGAAUGCUGUGAAAGUCCAAGGAAAGGACACUUUGGAGCAGUUUUAAGUAAAAUUCAGAGUUAAACAUUGCUGGGAGCAAGCAAUCCUGUUGAAAGCUCAGGAGCUAGAUGAGUGCAGGCAAAAGGAGCUCGGGCAGGACUCUGCAGGUGACCGGAGCCCGGCUGCUGCAGCAGCUGGCAGGGCACAGGUGGAGCAGGGCAGUGCCCAGGCAGCUGCAGGACAGGGCUCAGUCAUGAGCUUCCUCAGAACACUGGUCUCCUCAAGCAAAGCUGAAGCCAAAAGUGAUUCUGAAGAUAAGGGCUCCAGGGCGGAGAAGGGCCCUGGGGGACAGCCUGGCCCGAAGGCAGCCGCAGGAUCCCCCUCCAAAGGAGCCAAGAAAAAGAAGGCAGAGAGCCCCAAAAAGCUGGGCCACAGCACCUUUAGCAAACUCUUUAGGCACAAGGCUGAGAAAGAAACCCAGCAGACAGCCAACACCAAAGUGAGUAGGAGGGGUUGAAUUAUCUGUGCAACGCAGGAAAAGGGAAAUUCUCGCUGGCAUGUUCAGUCUUUAGGUGUUUUCGUUUCUUUAUCUGUGUUCUGGGUUUG
Molecule: long non-coding RNA, 1063 nt
Filed under: Lonchura striata (white-rumped munia)
Lineage: Eukaryota; Metazoa; Chordata; Aves; Passeriformes; Estrildidae
Description: domestica (Bengalese finch) lncRNA (ENSLSDG00000002712.1)
Source: RNAcentral